RNAcentral lists this transfer RNA (476 nucleotides) under Cricetulus griseus (Chinese hamster). RNAcentral describes it as "lncRNA (ENSCGRG00015032058.1)". The stretch from base 1 to 70 matches the Rfam family "tRNA". Lineage: Eukaryota; Metazoa; Chordata; Mammalia; Rodentia; Cricetidae. The record is from RNAcentral.
CUCGUUGGUCUAGGGGUAUGAUUCUCGCUUUGGGUGCGAGAGGUCCCGGGUUCAAAUCCCGGACGAGCCCUGAUGCACUUUUAGUUUUUACUCACAGCGUGAAGGCUUUGGACUUCAGCGAAAAGCUAGAUCUAGAUCCAAGGACAGAGUCGAAGGCAUAGCUCUUGUCCCCACAUCUGUUCUGCCGGAUAUGUCUGGUCCGACGCAGCCAUGGGGUCUAGGUGCAGCUGAAGGACAAAUGGCAUGCGCCCUGGACUGGAGCAGAGAACAAGGACAAAUCCCUCCCAGCCAUCUCUGUCUCCGCAGAUGUCUGGGUGUCGUGUACCAGGCCUCCCUGCUCUAGGCGCGUUGUUUUUCUUCGGUUAGGAGCGGAAGGCGGAGGAGCUGACUUCAGGGUAGUUCUUCAGAGACCAGCUAUCCAGUAAAAGGCGCUGGUGCGAGUGGUCCAGCCUUCACCAGUAUUCCCAAGUUCCAGG